Molecule: long non-coding RNA, 436 nt
Filed under: Sinocyclocheilus anshuiensis
Lineage: Eukaryota; Metazoa; Chordata; Actinopteri; Cypriniformes; Cyprinidae
Description: lncRNA (ENSSANG00000026380.1)
Source: RNAcentral
CUCCAUUUCUCUUUUGUUUUUGGUACACAGUUCCUCUGACUUCCACAACACCUGCUCCGACAACUGAAACAAUCAGUCAGACAGUUCCCUCAACCUUCAUAAUACCUGUUCUGACAACUGAAACAACCAAUCAGACAGAGCCACCCAUCAUGACCAACACUGCUGCUAAAGUGUUCACUGGAGUAGGAGCUUCGGUUCUAGUAGUAGCGGUUCUAGUAGUAGCAGUUCUAGCGGUCACAUUUUUCAGAAGGAGGUGUUGUGGCCCAUUGCCACACCAGCAGCAUGCAAGGCCCAUUGAGAUGGAGAAUUUCCUGCCAAAUCCAGAUCAAGUGUAAUAAAACAAUAACGAUGUUUACUUAGGACCAGACCAUAACUGAAGAAUAACACUGGCGUGUUAUCAAUCAAGUGCAAUUGUUAGGUUUUCAGCUCUCUAAGC